AUUGAACGCUGGCGGCAGGCCUAACACAUGCAAGUCGAGCGGAUGAAGGGAGCUUGCUCCUGGAUUCAGCGGCGGACGGGUGAGUAAUGCCUAGGAAUCUGCCUGGUAGUGGGGGAUAACGUCCGGAAACGGGCGCUAAUACCGCAUACGUCCUGAGGGAGAAAGUGGGGGAUCUUCGGGCCUCACGCUAUCAGAUGAGCCUAGGUCGGAUUAGCUAGUUGGUGGGGUAAAGGCCUACCAAGGCGACGAUCCGUAACUGGUCUGAGAGGAUGAUCAGUCACACUGGAACUGAGACACGGUCCAGACUCCUACGGGAGGCAGCAGUGGGGAAUAUUGGACAAUGGGCGAAAGCCUGAUCCAGCCAUGCCGCGUGUGUGAAGAAGGUCUUCGGAUUGUAAAGCACUUUAAGUUGGGAGGAAGGGCAGUAAGUUAAUACCUUGCUGUUUUGACGUUACCAACAGAAUAAGCACCGACUAACUUCGUG
This 484-nucleotide ribosomal RNA is filed under the name uncultured bacterium. RNAcentral's name for it is "partial 16S ribosomal RNA". It matches the Rfam family "Bacterial small subunit ribosomal RNA", at positions 30 to 507 of the family's 1533-position model. The record is from RNAcentral.